CAGGGAGACAACAAAAUGUUUAAUAUUAUUAUUUUGUCACCUUAGGUCGAUCGGUAUCUCACAUUCUUGAUUUAUUAAGGAUUUUAUUUCCUAAGUUUUUUCUAGGUCACACCCAUUACUUUUCCUGGGCCAUUAGCUCAGGUGGUUAGAGCGCACCCCUGAUAAGGGUGAGGUCCCUGGUUCAAGUCCAGGAUGGCCCAUAUCUCUAUGUUGGGGGUAUAGCUCAGUUGGUAGAGCGCCUGCUUUGCAAGCAGGAUGUCAGCGGUUCGAGUCCGCUUACCUCCACUGAUUACCACCUCUUCCAUAAUUUUCAUAAAGGAAAUGUUUUGAGUAGUGAUCAAAUUCUGAACGAAUCUAGCUUCCUAAUGUAAUCAUUAAGAUGCUGGACUCAUUGAAUUAAAUUCAUUGUUUUCAGAGAACCUUGACAACUGCAUAGAUUAUUUUUAAAGACAAUAAGCAUCUUUAUGAUGCAGAUUUAUUAUUUGUGCAAAUGCAUUAAUAACAAUUCUAUUAAGCUGAUGCUUCAAUUAUGAAGUUAUU
This 540-nucleotide transfer RNA is filed under the name uncultured Prochlorococcus sp. RNAcentral's name for it is "partial 16S-23S ribosomal RNA intergenic spacer". The stretch from base 213 to 285 matches the Rfam family "tRNA". The record is from RNAcentral. Lineage: Bacteria; Bacillati; Cyanobacteriota; Cyanophyceae; Synechococcales; Prochlorococcaceae.